AGAUCAAACCGAGAUCGUGAUGCAGCUCGCUCGCGAUCUCCUUCCUCCUUCCUUCCUGUUCUAUAAUCCAACAAAUGAUAAACAAAAAUUCUUCUUACUUCUAAAUCUAUCCUCUCCAAAAAUUAGUCGUGAACGCGAUCCAGCCUUCAAAUCUUCCAAAUCUCUCUUAUCUUUCAUUGUCAGGAUGCAACUCUACAUUUAAUCAAAAAAGGCACAACGAAAAAUUAAAAAGAUGUGCCAAGUGGCUAUAAGCUAGAUAUCUACCUUGAAAAUAAUUAAACGACAAUGACUCAGGCUCAAUGCAACAUAUGUUAAACCAAAAUAAUAAUAAUAAUAAUAAUAAUUCACACCAUCUGUUUCUCUGACUCUAAUAUACCUUGAUUAUGGAAUGCUUCACAUUCCAUUCUAACAGACACAUGGGACAGUAUUUGGAAUUGAAUACUAUAUGCUAAUUCAUAGAAGUAACACACUAUCUAACAUAAAAUUAGAAUUUAGAGAAGAAGCUCAACACAAUCAGUUGACAGAAUAGCUGAGAUCUAGACCUACUCACAUCAUUCACAAUGAAGAGUCCGUCAGAUACAGCCAAUUUGUAAAUCAUAUUGUAUAUUUUUGUUAUAUUCAUGAUAAAGAAACAGACCUCUGGUCAUAAAACCAAAUGCAUUUCCUAAUAAAUACAAAAUUAUAAAGGCUAUCACAUUAAUUAAUGUAUCUAAAUUCUUUCCAUCUACUAGAAUUUU
This 737-nucleotide long non-coding RNA is filed under the name Phoenix dactylifera (date palm). RNAcentral describes it as "long non-coding RNA (PDAC_LNC015006)". Lineage: Eukaryota; Viridiplantae; Streptophyta; Magnoliopsida; Arecales; Arecaceae. The record is from RNAcentral.